GGCUGUCUACUUUUGUCAUCCUAAAUUCACAAUUCUUAGUAAAAAAUGCUUUUUACUUGAUUAAAAUAUAUUUUAAUUUUAUUUAUGCAUCUUUUCAUAUUUAAUAUAUGAAAAUAUAUGAAAAAUAGAAACCAAAAUGCGACGGUGGCGAUUGAUUAUUUAAGGAGUGUUGAAGUGGAUGGUGAGGAUUUUGUCGUGGAAUUGCAUUUAAUGCUGCACGUG
RNAcentral lists this long non-coding RNA (222 nucleotides) under Vigna radiata. Its description in RNAcentral is "long non-coding RNA (VRAD_LNC009789)". Lineage: Eukaryota; Viridiplantae; Streptophyta; Magnoliopsida; Fabales; Fabaceae. The record is from RNAcentral.